Molecule: long non-coding RNA, 777 nt
Organism: Cannabis sativa
Lineage: Eukaryota; Viridiplantae; Streptophyta; Magnoliopsida; Rosales; Cannabaceae
Exons: 2
Source: RefSeq, a predicted model, not a curated record
AGUAGCUAAGAAAUUAUAAAAUAAUAUUUUGUUAUUAUUAUUGUUGUUAUUGUUGCUGUUGUUGUUGUUAUUUUUGUUGUGGUCGUCGUUGUUGUUAAUAAAAGUUUUUACUUAUUUAAAUAUAUAUGAGGGAUAUGAUUUUGUCCCGUGAUAUACUUUCACGGAAUGUAUUUCGUGGUACAUUACAUGGGUCUCAGGGUACAUUAAAUGAGUGUCAGGGUACGUUUCUACUUUUUAAUCCUAAUUACCCUUAGAUCAAUCUCAACCGUCAAAUCAAAUAACUACCUCAUCUGACGGCUGUCGUACAUCACGGAUCACAAUCCGUGAAAGUACAAUAACGGGACAAAAUCAUAUCCCUAUAUAUAUAAGUUAAGGUUUAAAGAUGUAAAACUAAAAAUGAAACCUAUUUGUGCGACAAGAACGUGCACCUCCACCAUCCAUAUUUUUUCAAUUUUUCAGCCAAAAACAUAGUGUUUUUAGCCAUGUUAGUAGGUGGGUAGUGAAUCAAUGAAGAGGGAAAUUCUUAAGGUAAUAGGUAGAGUUAUUUAGACAACCAUGAGUUAAAAAUUUUCUCCAGCAAAUGUACAUAUCAGCUUAUCCAGCAAGUGGUGCUGAGUUGUCAAGAACUGUAUUUUAAAUGUUCUGAACUUUUAAAUAUAUUUUAUAAUAAUACAAUAAUAGCGUGUCUUGUAAUAUUUUAAAUAGGGGAUCCGUAAUCGUAAAAAGAGACUAUGUCAUGAUUUUAUAAUUUAAAUUAGUUGGUAAAGUUUUUAUUAA